Long non-coding RNA from Monopterus albus (swamp eel), 765 nucleotides. RefSeq lists it as uncharacterized. Lineage: Eukaryota; Metazoa; Chordata; Actinopteri; Synbranchiformes; Synbranchidae. The record is from RefSeq and is a predicted model, not a curated record. The transcript is spliced from 3 exons.
GUGUGAACGUAGUCUAAAUGUGUGAAAUCAUGGAUACUACAGUGACAGAAUGAACUUUCUCGAACUGUUCUCUUCUCAUGCACUUAUUUGCUUAGCUGAACUGCCAAUCAGAGUGGUCUCUCUCACCAAUGAGGCCUGACCACCGACUUCAACACGUCAAAUCGUCUGAAAAGCUGCAGACAGGGACCAUCUAGUGCCAACGGUGUGGGACACACCAGGAGAAUGAGCUGACAGACGAGCUCUGACAGACAAUCUCUGACGGUCUGACGAUGGCUGACAGCCAACUGUUGGCUUGUUGUGUCUCUGCCCUAAGACAGACUCGUAAUCUCUGAGAUGGUAGAACAACUACACAGGUCACUGGCGUGGCUUUGGGAUCCUGUGGUUCCAACUACAAACGGCUGCUUUCAAACACAUUCUGAAAAACCAAUAAGAAAUAUUGUGAACACAACAGUGAAGAAGUGGAUUAUCCUGCAGCGUUUUGAGAAACGUUUACUUCAUUCCCACCAUGAUUCUGAUUCACAACUAUAAUCCAUUGCAGCUCAACAGCACAGAGACAGACUGCAAUAAUGAUGUCACCGAGACACAAGUCCUGGAGCGGCUCCAACAGUGAAUAAUGCAACAACUGCUGAGACGCUACGACAGCAGCCAUGCCACGUUAUCCUGUUCCCUGCCUCUCAAUCUCCCCCAUACCUCCCCAUCCACCAGUGGGAAAUCCCUUGAAGAUGGCAGUCCAUCAGUAAUGAUUUUCUGCUCAGCUGAGCGAUA